GCCUCGGUGGCCUAGUCUGGUAGGGCAUCGCCUUGGUAAGGCGAGGGUCGCGGGUUCGAAGCCCGCCCGAGGCUCCA
Molecule: transfer RNA, 77 nt
Filed under: Candidatus Bathyarchaeota archaeon
Lineage: Archaea; Thermoproteati; Candidatus Bathyarchaeota
Also listed under: 1 other name
Description: tRNA-Thr
Rfam family: tRNA
About the family: Transfer RNA (tRNA) molecules are approximately 80 nucleotides in length. Their secondary structure includes four short double-helical elements and three loops (D, anti-codon, and T loops). Further hydrogen bonds mediate the characteristic L-shaped molecular structure. tRNAs have two regions of fundamental functional importance: the anti-codon, which is responsible for specific mRNA codon recognition, and the 3' end, to which the tRNAs corresponding amino acid is attached (by aminoacyl-tRNA synthetases). tRNAs cope with the degeneracy of the genetic code in two manners: having more than one tRNA (with a specific anti-codon) for a particular amino acid; and 'wobble' base-pairing, i.e. permitting non-standard base-pairing at the 3rd anti-codon position.
Source: RNAcentral